ACAUAAUAAUAGAUCAUAAACUGAUUACCAUUUGAACCUUACGUCAUAACAUCCAAAUUUUAUUACGUGGGACAAAAUUUAUUCGAAUAUCAACAUAAAAAAUGUUGUUCCGACCAAGAUUACUACCGACUUAUUAAGUGAGGGCAGUAUUUCGAUCAAUGAUCAUGGCUUCGUUGUUAUCAUAUCUAACGAAUACAUUGUUCUUUUCUAACUGGCUAAGCUUACCAUUACUAGGACUGCAUAAGGUUAUUGGAAUCCUGACUUCACAAGUUCGUGGCAUUCGACUGUUUGGGAGGACGAUUGAAGAGCCGUUGUAAUCAAAGUACGUAUUUUGAACAUGUAAGUUUGAAGAGUUGAAAUUACUCUGUGUACAGACGUCGUAUCAAUAAAAAGUAAUAUUUUUCUA
Athalia rosae (coleseed sawfly) is the source of this 406-nucleotide long non-coding RNA. RefSeq lists it as uncharacterized. NCBI's taxonomy places the organism in Eukaryota, Metazoa, Arthropoda, Insecta, Hymenoptera, Athaliidae. The record is from RefSeq and is a predicted model, not a curated record. The transcript is spliced from 2 exons.